UACUUUACUUGAAGUUUUCUACAUAAGAGUGACAUGACACAGUCAUGACACACAAACCCUAUCUUGUCAUGACAAAAUCGACUGACGCUUACUAAAAGAAACUUUAUGUUAUAAAUGCUUAUGACUUGUUUAUAAUGUUUUAUGACACGUUGAUGACAGUGUCAUAUCACUCGUGGAUACCGUCUCAGUGCGUCACAAAAUCUGCCGCCAGGUAUGUUGACGGAAGUUUGGGGGUUUAAGGUACUGCGUGAUUUCUGCGCCCAUGUAGCAGUGAUUCAUCUGUGCUUCCACCCAAUAUAGGCCCAUGUCAAUAUCUGCGUAGGAAGUCGUCUAGUCUUUAUCUGCAUUGUUAUUUGUACUUGUGAUUAUGCAGGCCACAAGAACUAAUUAGGUUGUUGUUUUUUUGUUGGCUCACUUUUACUCACAACAUGCUAACCGGCAACAUUGGAUUCCAUUCACUACGCUAAGCGAACUAGCGGCAGCGCUACCGGUGUUGCACCGGACUAAUGCAUGCACUGAGACAAAAAAUGUGUUGGUCCAUCUAUCUACAGCGAGGGAGGACCAUGAUAAGCCUUCUUCCAACAAAUGAGUGAUGGAGAAAACUCCAAACUGCUACAAUCUUGCUUCACUGGUUGCUUUAGUCGUCCUCGUCUUACUUCCUGUGAGGUCUGUAUGUAAGGAAGACAACUAUAAAUCACUGACAGAGGCUAAGCCGGAGACCUGUGUUCAAAAGAUGCAGAGUUAAAGAGAUUUAAAGAGAUUUAAAGACAUUGACUAUGACAGCUUUGUGGGUCUAAUGGGAAGGAGAAGUGCUGCUCAACCAAACACAAUGGGACUUUGCGGGUGCUUCUAGCUUUGCUUCACAUAGCUUUCUUCUGAUCUUAACAGUUCUCACAGGAAUUGUCCCAGAGUAUUUACAUAAAAGGCGUGGCCAAUUUGUCAAUCAUGGGAGGCAGAGAUUUUAAGGCUUUCUGUAGUGAGGAUGCCACACCUCAACAAAGGCUGUAAAACCUUAAGUCCUCACAGCUACUGUAACAAGAGGACAAUGUCCAUCCAUCUUCGACCGCUUAUCCGGUGUCGGGUCGCGGGGGCAGCAGCUCCAGUAGGGGACCCCAAACUUCCCUUUCCCGAGCCACAUCAACCAGCUCCGACUGGGGGAUCCCGAGGUGUUCCCAGGCCAGGUUGGAGAUAUAAUCUCUCCACCUAGUCCUAGGUCUUCCCCGGGGCCUCCUCCCAGCUGGAGGACAAUGUAUCAAAGUUAUUUACUAAAGAGAGGUGAAGGCAUAUUAACCAUGCAUGAAUGCUUCCAUAUUGUCACUGGCAAAUGUUUUGACAUAAUAACUAAUAAAAAAAAGCACAAUAAAAUAUGCAUUUAUUUAUAGUGAUUAAAGAACAAUUCACUGAUAACAAUCCUGCACAUUGAUCAUGUGUGCUCACAAACUCACACAAUAUUCAUUUACAACUAACAUAAAUAUAUUUCAGAUAUAAAAACAGUACUGUACACCUAUCUUUAAGAUACAAUUUGAAUGGAGUAGAUUGUCGAGGACUGGGUGUGUUGAAUCACUGGCAUUAGAAACCAGAUUUCAUGAUUAUCAGCUGUGUUGGGGCCCUCAGGACAAACUCCACUGAAGCCCUUUGUUACUAAAAAGUUUUACAUAUUUAAAUUAUUUCAAAAGAAAACCAUUAUGUAAAACAUGCUGAUUUGGUUUGAACUGGACUUUUUCAUUUGAAUAGAAAAAAAAACCUGAAAAUUCUCUGUGCUCAUAGACAGAAAAGAAACCGAGUAUAAACAUGUACAAAAGGCAUUUUGCAUUAGUUACCUCAUACGCUGUUUACCUUGGAGAGAGGGAGGUUUAAGUGGUU
Etheostoma spectabile (orangethroat darter) is the source of this 1863-nucleotide long non-coding RNA. RefSeq lists it as uncharacterized. The record is from RefSeq and is a predicted model, not a curated record. Lineage: Eukaryota; Metazoa; Chordata; Actinopteri; Perciformes; Percidae. The transcript is spliced from 6 exons.